GACGAACGCUGGCGGCGUGCUUAACACAUGCAAGUCGAGCGGUAAGGCCCUUUCGGGGUACGACGAGCGGCGAACGGGUGAGUAACACGUGGGUGACCUGCCCUCAGCUCUGGGAGUAAGCCUGGGAAACCGGGUCUAAUACCGGAUAUGACUCCAUGACGCAUGUUGUGGGGUGGAAAGCCUUGUGCGGCUGAGGAUGGGCCCGCGGCCUAUCAGCUUGUUGGUGGGGUGAUGGCCUACCAAGGCGACGACGGGUAGCCGGCCUGAGAGGGCGACCGGCCACACUGGGACUGAGACACGGCCCAGACUCCUACGGGAGGCAGCAGGUGGGGAAUCUUGCGCAAUGGGCGAAAGCCUGACGCAGCGACGCCGCGUGAGGGAUGACGGCCU
RNAcentral lists this ribosomal RNA (390 nucleotides) under uncultured bacterium. RNAcentral describes it as "bacterial SSU rRNA". It matches the Rfam family "Bacterial small subunit ribosomal RNA", at positions 28 to 417 of the family's 1533-position model. The record is from RNAcentral.